GUGGGAUGUCUGCAGUGUCACGUGACAGUACAGUUUCAAUUCUACAACAUGUAGUUUGUGACCCAGUCGAACCGACUCCAGUUAAUAUUGCUAUGUUAUUAACAACGCAUUCCUUGCCUCAAUGAGUGACUUUUCUCCAUUAUCUCCCAACGUUCGUCUUGCCACCGAUAAUGAACCCCCAUUUACCGUCACAGAGCAAUCAGUUUUUCAGAAAUUGUUAGCACUAAAUUCAACCAAAGCAACUGGGCCAGAUGGUAUUCCCUGCUGGCUUUUAAAAGAGAACGCCCCUAUUUUUUGCACGACCAGUAAUGUCGAUUAUUAACUGUUCAUUCUUGGAGUCUCGCUUACCUCCUUCAUGGAAAGAAGCCGAUAUAGUACCAAUACCUAAGCAAAAACCUGUCAAUGACAUAAAUAAAGACCUAAGACCAAUCUCUCUAACUCCAGUACUCUCUAAGGCGCUGAGGAAUACAUAGUUGGGUGUUUUGUAAAACCAGCUGUAUUGAAAAAAGUUGACCCACAACAGUUCGGUACCUGGCUUGAAUACCACCUAUGCUCUUAUUAGCAUGCUACAUAAAUGGAACUGUGACACUGAUGGUAAUAGUGCAACAGUGAGGAUUGUAUUGUUCGAUUUCAAAAAGGCCUUCGAUCUGAUCGAUCAUGAUAUUUUAAUUCAGAAACUUAAUUCAGAUCAACGACUUAAAUGUCUCUAACGAUGUGAUGUGGAAAUAUGUGGACGACUCAAAUAUCUCCGAAACUGUUAAAAAAGACGAAGUAAGUCAUAUCCAAUCAACCGUAGAUGAGUUCGUACGCAAGUCCAAAGCCGAAAAGUUCGUGUUGAAUGAGCGCAAAUGUAAAGAAAUGAGAAUUAGUUUUACGAAAUCGGAAAAAGACUUUCCACCCGUUAUGAUAAAUAACGCCCCCCUUGAAGUUGUCCCACAUGCCAAAAUUCUGGGCCUGAAUGUAUCCGACAACUUAAAAUGGAAUUAUCAUGUUAGCGAACUCGUUAAAAAAUCUUCAAAAAGAUUGUACUUCCUAACUCAGUUAAAGCGCGCCAAAGUGGGUUGUUUGGAAUUGGUACAAUUUUUUAAAUCCUGCAUCAGAUCUUUAAUUGAAUAUGCUUGCCCAGUGUAUCACGAUGGUCUCCCUACGUAUCUUUCGAGAGAUCUCGAAACUAUUCAAAGACGAGCAAUGCGAAUCAUCUACCCAACAGAAUCUUACGAAGAUGCCUUAUUAUUAUCAGGUCUAACCUCCCAAUUCCUACGGCGCCAACAGAUCACCAACAAAGUCUUCCUAAAUAUUAUGAACGAUGAUGCACACAAAUUACACGAAC
Molecule: non-coding RNA, 1330 nt
Organism: Paramuricea clavata
Lineage: Eukaryota; Metazoa; Cnidaria; Anthozoa; Malacalcyonacea; Plexauridae
Source: the annotation of a GenBank genome assembly